Molecule: ribosomal RNA, 253 nt
Filed under: uncultured bacterium
Lineage: Bacteria
Description: partial 16S ribosomal RNA
Rfam family: Bacterial small subunit ribosomal RNA
Source: RNAcentral
UACGAAGGGUGCAAACGUUGCUCGGAAUUAUUGGGCGUAAAGCGCACGUAGGCGGUAUUGCAAGUCGGAUGUGAAAUCCCUCGGCUUAACCAAGGAAGUGCAUCCGAAACUGCAGUACUUGAGUACGAAAGAGGAUCGCGGAAUUCCCGGUGUAGAGGUGAAAUGCGUAGAUAUCUGGAGGAACACCGGUGGCGAAGGCGGCAUCCUGGACCGACACUGACGCUGAGGAGCGAAAGCCAGGGGAGCAAACGGG